Pelobates cultripes (western spadefoot toad) is the source of this 256-nucleotide non-coding RNA. The record is from the annotation of a GenBank genome assembly. Lineage: Eukaryota; Metazoa; Chordata; Amphibia; Anura; Pelobatidae.
GGCUCUUAGGAGCCAAAACGUUGCACUUAUUUUGGUGAGGUGGUGAACCCACGAAUAAAUUCACCUUCUAUAUCCUGGCAUGCUGCCUGUGUUUCUCUUCUUUGAUACUACAUUGGUGGAUUCAGUGGUGUCCAUCCUACACACAGAGCGCCCCCUUGGUGGAAGGCCUGAGUGCAGGGUACUCUGUUUUUAUUCAUAGGAUGACUGUCCAUUUAUCCCAAUUACAGAGUCUGAACAACAAAGUAGGACCUCAUUG